AUUGAACGCUGGCGGCAUGCCUUACACAUGCAAAUCGAACGGUAACGGGCCUUCGGGUGCCGACGAGUGGCGAACGGGUGAGUAAUACAUCGGAACGUGCCCGAUCGUGGGGAUAACGAGGCGAAAGCUUUGCUAAUACCGCAUACGAUCUACGGAUGAAAGCAGGGGACCGCAAGGCCUUGCGCGGACGGAGCGGCCGAUGGCAGAUUAGGUAGUUGGUGGGAUAAAAGCUUACCAAGCCGACGAUCUGUAGCUGGUCUGAGAGGAUGAUCAGCCACACUGGGACUGAGACACGGCCCAGACUCCUACGGGAGGCAGCAGUGGGGAAUUUUGGACAAUGGGCGCAAGCCUGAUCCAGCCAUGCCGCGUGCAGGAUGAAGGCCUUCGGGUUGUAAACUGAUUUUGUACGGAACGAAAAGCCUUCUUUUAAUACAGGAGGGUCAUGACGGUACCGUAAGAAUAAGCACCGGCUAACUACGUG
Molecule: ribosomal RNA, 481 nt
Filed under: uncultured bacterium
Lineage: Bacteria
Description: partial 16S ribosomal RNA
Rfam family: Bacterial small subunit ribosomal RNA
Source: RNAcentral